Molecule: transfer RNA, 73 nt
Filed under: Candidatus Electryonea clarkiae
Lineage: Bacteria; Pseudomonadati; Candidatus Electryoneota; Candidatus Electryoneia; Candidatus Electryoneales; Candidatus Electryoneaceae
Description: tRNA-Thr
Rfam family: tRNA
About the family: Transfer RNA (tRNA) molecules are approximately 80 nucleotides in length. Their secondary structure includes four short double-helical elements and three loops (D, anti-codon, and T loops). Further hydrogen bonds mediate the characteristic L-shaped molecular structure. tRNAs have two regions of fundamental functional importance: the anti-codon, which is responsible for specific mRNA codon recognition, and the 3' end, to which the tRNAs corresponding amino acid is attached (by aminoacyl-tRNA synthetases). tRNAs cope with the degeneracy of the genetic code in two manners: having more than one tRNA (with a specific anti-codon) for a particular amino acid; and 'wobble' base-pairing, i.e. permitting non-standard base-pairing at the 3rd anti-codon position.
Source: RNAcentral
GCCAUCGUAGCUCAGUCGGUAGAGCGCGUCCUUGGUAAGGACGAGGUCACCGGUUCAAUCCCGGUCGAUGGCC